RNAcentral lists this ribosomal RNA (519 nucleotides) under uncultured bacterium. Its description in RNAcentral is "bacterial SSU rRNA". It matches the Rfam family "Archaeal small subunit ribosomal RNA", at positions 345 to 866 of the family's 1478-position model. The record is from RNAcentral.
AACCUCCGCAAUGUGAGAAAUCGCGACGGGGGGAUCCCAAGUGCCAUUCUUAACGGGAUGGCUUUUCAUUAGUGUAAAGAGCUUUUGGAAUAAGAGCUGGGCAAGACCGGUGCCAGCCGCCGCGGUAACACCGGCAGCUCUAGUGGUAACAAUUUUUAUUGGGCCUAAAGCGUCCGUAGCCGGUUUAAUAAGUCUCUGGUGAAAUCCUGCAGCUUAACUGUGGGAAUUGCUGGAGAUACUAUUAGACUUGAGACCGGGAGAGGUUAGAGGUACUCCCAGGGUAGAGGUGAAAUUCUGUAAUCCUGGGAGGACCGCCUGUUGCGAAGGCGUCUAACUGGAACGGUUCUGACGGUGAGGGACGAAAGUUAGGGGCGCGAACCGGAUUAGAUACCCGGGUAGUCCUAACUGUAAACGAUGCGGACUUGGUGUUGGGGUGGCUUUGAGCUGCUUCAGUGCCGAAGGGAAGCUGUUAGUCCGCCGCCUGGGAGUACGGUCGCAAGACUGAAACUUAAAGGAAUU